Molecule: small RNA, 666 nt
Filed under: Oryza sativa Japonica Group (Japanese rice)
Lineage: Eukaryota; Viridiplantae; Streptophyta; Magnoliopsida; Poales; Poaceae
Description: sRNA Os05g0318901
Source: RNAcentral
UUUCGAUGCAUCGCCACUAGCCGCCGUCCCGGCCCGACACGGCGACGCCCAUCUCAUGGAGCCGCGGCGACAAGACAACGAGUGCAGGCGGCAGGCUGCGCAGCGCCUCCACCGUUCGCGGCCGUCGCAGUGCCUUUGACUUCCGUUGUGGUGCCUCCGCGGCUCCGCCGUCCACCGGGUGUCAUGGCGCUGCCGUACGCCGAAGGGCCACCGUCGUCUGCCUCCCGUCGUGGUGCCGCCAUCUGACGCAGCCCCUUCACCGGCAGCCGGGCGCCAGAGCUCCGCAACCAGGCAAGCGCAGCCGCACAUCCCUCACUGCCUAGUACUUUUCGUUCUUCUACUCCGCUCCACUCUCUUUCCAAUCCAGGCUUAUCUAAAAUUUGUUCCCCUUUGUUAUUUUCUUGGUACAAGACUACUAGUGCCAUAUCUUGUUAGAUGCGAUGUAUUUUGAUGGAUGCUUGAGUGGUAAUGCAUCUAGAUAUCCAGCAACUAGCAGUUCUAAUGGUUGUAUGGCUGCUAAUGCGGCUGGGCAUUGGAGGAGAUAGCUUUGAGUUGUUUCAUGGUUAUGUUGGACGACUGAUUUUCUUAAGCAAACUGACCUUGAGAGAGUCCAGAAUAUGUUGGUGUAUUGGACCCACUAUUUUUACACUUAUUUAAUUUGCUAUA